GUUAUAGGGUCAAGCGAACAAGUGCAUGUGGUGGAUGCCUUGGCGAUCACAGGCGAUGAAGGACGCGGUAGCCUGCGAAAAGCUACGGGGAGCUGGCAAACGAGCUUUGAUCCGUAGAUGUCCGAAUGGGGAAACCCGGCCCUUUUGGGUCAUCCUAGACUGAAUACAUAGGUCUAGUGAAGCGAACGCGGUGAACUGAAACAUCUAAGUAACCGCAGGAAAAGAAAUCAACCGAGAUUCCCAAAGUAGUGGCGAGCGAAAUGGGAUGAGCCUUGUACUCUUUAUUUGUAUUGUUAGCCGAACGCUCUGGAAAGUGCGGCCAUAGCAGGUGAUAGCCCUGUAGGCGAAAACAGUAUGAAAGAACUAGGUGUACGACAAGUAGGGCGGGACACGUGAAAUCCUGUCUGAAGAUGGGGGGACCAUCCUCCAAGGCUAAAUACUCGUGAUCGACCGAUAGUGAACCAGUACCGUGAGGGAAAGGCGAAAAGAACCCCGGGAGGGGAGUGAAAUAGAUCCUGAAACCGCAUGCAUACAAACAGUCGGAGCCUCGUAAGGGGUGACGGCGUACCUUUUGUAUAAUGGGUCAGCGACUUACGUUCAGUAGCAAGCUUAACCGUAUAGGGCAGGCGUAGCGAAAGCGAGUCCGAAUAGGGCGUUCAGUUGCUGGGCGUAGACCCGAAACCAGGUGAUCUAUCCAUGGCCAGGAUGAAGGUGCGGUAACACGUACUGGAGGUCCGAACCCACUAACGUUGAAAAGUUAGGGGAUGAGCUGUGGAUAGGGGUGAAAGGCUAAACAAACCUGGAAAUAGCUGGUUCUCUCCGAAAACUAUUUAGGUAGUGCCUCGUGUCUCACCUUCGGGGGUAGAGCACUGUCAUGGUUGGGGGGUCUAUUGCAGAUUACCCCGCCAUAGCAAACUCCGAAUACCGAAGAGUGCAAUCACGGGAGACAGACAUCGGGUGCUAACGUCCGGUGUCAAGAGGGAAACAACCCAGACCGCCAGCUAAGGUCCCCAAAUAUGGCUAAGUGGGAAACGAAGUGGGAAGGCUAAAACAGUCAGGAGGUUGGCUUAGAAGCAGCCACCCUUUAAAGAAAGCGUAAUAGCUCACUGAUCGAGUCGUCCUGCGCGGAAGAUGUAACGGGGCUAAGCCAUAUACCGAAGCUGCGGAUGCG
RNAcentral lists this ribosomal RNA (1171 nucleotides) under Burkholderia ubonensis. RNAcentral's name for it is "bacterial LSU rRNA". It matches the Rfam family "Bacterial large subunit ribosomal RNA", at positions 1 to 1210 of the family's 2925-position model. The record is from RNAcentral. Lineage: Bacteria; Pseudomonadati; Pseudomonadota; Betaproteobacteria; Burkholderiales; Burkholderiaceae.